This 74-nucleotide transfer RNA is filed under the name Zooshikella harenae. RNAcentral describes it as "tRNA-Gly". It matches the Rfam family "tRNA". Rfam says of the family: Transfer RNA (tRNA) molecules are approximately 80 nucleotides in length. Their secondary structure includes four short double-helical elements and three loops (D, anti-codon, and T loops). Further hydrogen bonds mediate the characteristic L-shaped molecular structure. tRNAs have two regions of fundamental functional importance: the anti-codon, which is responsible for specific mRNA codon recognition, and the 3' end, to which the tRNAs corresponding amino acid is attached (by aminoacyl-tRNA synthetases). tRNAs cope with the degeneracy of the genetic code in two manners: having more than one tRNA (with a specific anti-codon) for a particular amino acid; and 'wobble' base-pairing, i.e. permitting non-standard base-pairing at the 3rd anti-codon position. The record is from RNAcentral. Lineage: Bacteria; Pseudomonadati; Pseudomonadota; Gammaproteobacteria; Oceanospirillales; Zooshikellaceae.
GCGGGUGUAGUUCAAUGGUAGAACAUCAGCUUCCCAAGCUGAAUACAUGGGUUCGAUUCCCAUCACCCGCUCCA